RNAcentral lists this ribosomal RNA (423 nucleotides) under uncultured bacterium. RNAcentral describes it as "partial 16S ribosomal RNA". It matches the Rfam family "Bacterial small subunit ribosomal RNA", at positions 359 to 774 of the family's 1533-position model. The record is from RNAcentral.
GAAUAUUGGACAAUGGGCGAAAGCCUGAUCCAGCCAUGCCGCGUGUGUGAAGAAGGUCUUCGGAUUGUAAAGCACUUUAAGUCGGGAGGAAGGGCAGUAAGCGAAUACCUUGCUGUUUUGACGUUACCGACAGAAUAAGCACCGGCUAACUCUGUGCCAGCAGCCGCGGUAAUACCGGGGGUGCAUGCGUUAAUCGGAAGUACUGGGCGUGUAGAGCGCGUAGGUGGUUCGUUGAGUGGGAUGUGAAAUGCCCGGGCUCAACAUGGGAACUGCCUCCAAAACUGGCGAGCUAGAGUAGGGCAGAGGGUGGUGGAAUUUCCUGUGUAGCGGUGAAAUGCGUAGAUAUAGGAAGGAACACCAGUGGCGAAGGCGACCACCUGGGCUCAUACUGACACUGAGGUGCGAAAGCGUGGGGAGCAAACA